This 253-nucleotide ribosomal RNA is filed under the name uncultured bacterium. Its description in RNAcentral is "partial 16S ribosomal RNA". It matches the Rfam family "Bacterial small subunit ribosomal RNA", at positions 524 to 776 of the family's 1533-position model. The record is from RNAcentral.
UACAGAGGUCCCGAGCGUUGUUCGGAUUCACUGGGCGUAAAGGGUGCGUAGGUGGCGAGGAAAGUCGGAUAUGAAAGCUCGGAGCUCAACUCCGAAAUGGCACUGGAAACUACCUUGCUAGAGGGAUGGAGGGGGGACUGGAAUUCUCGGUGUAGCAGUGAAAUGCGUAGAUAUCGAGAGGAACACCAGUGGCGAAGGCGGCUUUCUGGGCCUUACCUGACGCUGAGACGCGAAAGCGUGGGGAGCGAACCGG